This 253-nucleotide ribosomal RNA is filed under the name uncultured bacterium. RNAcentral describes it as "partial 16S ribosomal RNA". It matches the Rfam family "Bacterial small subunit ribosomal RNA", at positions 524 to 776 of the family's 1533-position model. The record is from RNAcentral.
UACGAAGGGGGCUAGCGUUGCUCGGAAUCACUGGGCUUAAAGAGUCCGUAGGCGGCAUGUUAGGUGAGGUGUGAAAUCCCCCGGCUCAACCGAGGAAUUGCGCUUCAAACCGGCGUGCUCGAGGAAGAUAGAGGUGGGCGGAACUGAUGGUGGAGCGGUGAAAUGCGUUGAUAUCAUCAGGAACACCGGAGGCGAAAGCGGCCCACUGGGUCUUUUCUGACGCUGAGGGACGAAAGCUAGGGGAGCGAACGGG